CACGUAGUUAGCCGGCGCUUCAUACCCGGCUACCGUCAACCCCACCACCAGGGGCGGGGCCUUCACCACCGGGAACAGAGGUUCACAACCCGAAGGCCUCCAUCCCUCACGCGACGUCGCUGCAUCAGGCUUCCGCCCAUUGUGCAAUACCCCCCACUGCUGCCUCCCGCAGGAGUCUGGGCCGUGUCUCAGUCCCAGUGUGGCCGCCCACCCUCUCAGGCCGGCUACCCGUCACCGCCUUGGUGGCCAUCACCCCACCAACAAGCUGAUAGGCCGCGAGCCCAUCCCCCACCGAAACACCCGAAGAUGAAACUAUCCCGACCGGCCCAUGCGGACCAACCGGACCACCCCGUAUUACGCCGCCCUUUCAAGCGGUUAUCCAGGAGAGGAGGGCAGGUUACUCACGUGAUACCUCCACCCGUUCCGCCACCUACCAACCCCGAACCCCCGAAAAAACGGCCGGCCGGGUCCCGUUCGACUUCGCAUGUGUUAACGCACGCCGCCAGCGUCGUCCGUGACGCCGACGGACGUAC
This 533-nucleotide ribosomal RNA is filed under the name uncultured Actinomycetaceae bacterium. RNAcentral's name for it is "partial 16S ribosomal RNA". The record is from RNAcentral. Lineage: Bacteria; Bacillati; Actinomycetota; Actinomycetes; Actinomycetales; Actinomycetaceae.